CUCAAACGGCUAUGGGAUUCAAAUUGAACCUUUUUAAUCAUUUCACUUUUUACAAUGUUAACGAUGGUAAAUUGGAUACGAGACAUGCAAUACACACUGUCACAUUGAAUCCAAGUGAAUAUGAUCAUUACGAUUGGAUUAAUGGAGUUGUAUAACACUUGAUGUUUCCAUAUUUGAUGUAAAAUCUCUUAAUCGUUACCUUUUUCCCUUUUUUACGAGCAACAGCUCAAAGAUCCAGCCAACGCUAUAAUGAAGGAGAGUGAUUUCCUCCCUGGGAACAAUCGGAGGACAUGAUGUAAAACGUGCAACGUGGAACAUCCUCGCACGCAUGUUCACUGAUGAUGUUGGCAAGUCCAUAAAUUGGAAAGGGAUUCAUGGAAAAAAUCUUUCAAUCUAAUGACGUCCAAGACUUUGCUCCGCGUAAGUAACUCAUAUAUAAUGAAAACAAUUUGAUUUCACCCGGAGGUCUUUGUGUUCAAACUUACGAAUAACCAUGUUUCUAAAUAAAAUGUUUGAAUUGCAACUUUAUUCUCUAUUUAGGUGAAUGUUACUCAACUAUACCUUUACAUAAUAGUUAUAUGAUAUAUUAGCUCUAUGGAGUGGAGAUGGUCAGCUGCUUCAGGUUCCUCGGGGUCAACAUCAGCAACGACCUCACCUGGUCUGCUCACACAGACAAGGUGGUCAAAGCGCCCAAGCGCCUCUUCUUCCUGAGGAGACUGAAGAAGUUUGGCAUGGAUUCAGUCAUCCUCACCAAUUUCUACAGAUGCACAAUAGAAAGCAUCCUGACUGGGUGCAUCACAGUGUGGGAGCUGCACAGCCAAGGACCGCAAGGCCCUUCGCAGUGUGGUCAGGACUGCGGAGUUCAUCAUCGGUAGGGAGCUCCCAGCCCUGCAGGACACGUACCGCACACGAUGCCUCAGGAAGACUGGCAGGAUCCUAAAGGACUGCCAUCAUCCAGCCUUCAGCCUGUUCACCCCGCUGCCUUCUGGAAGGCGGUACCGUAUCAUCUGGUCUCGCACACAGAGACUGGAGAACAGUUUCUUCUGUGUAUCUGACAAUAAAAGACUUGACUUGACUUGACUAUAUUUAGCAUAGCACACUUUAAGUGCCAGACAGCCACUAGAUUUUAGACUGCAUGUCUGAUUUAUGUUGCACUGAGUAUUCAUGUGAUUUUGUAUCUGCUUGUGUGAUUACAGAUGCUGUCAGAAAGAAUCACUCAACACAUGCGUCCACUGACGACCAGGUUCUUAAGCACGCCAUUCGGUGGUUCAACCUGGCAGCAGACCGGCCUAGCUCCAGGAGGCGUGCUACUGUAGACGUCCCCCACACUGAACAGACUUAAAAUAUAUCUUUUUUAAAUGUGUGUGUAUAUAAAUUUGUCCUUUCAAAUAAAAAACUGUUUGACAUUA
Molecule: long non-coding RNA, 1409 nt
Organism: Pseudoliparis swirei
Lineage: Eukaryota; Metazoa; Chordata; Actinopteri; Perciformes; Liparidae
Exons: 2
Source: RefSeq, a predicted model, not a curated record